RNAcentral lists this ribosomal RNA (305 nucleotides) under uncultured bacterium. RNAcentral describes it as "bacterial SSU rRNA". It matches the Rfam family "Bacterial small subunit ribosomal RNA", at positions 333 to 655 of the family's 1533-position model. The record is from RNAcentral.
GUCAUCCUACGGGACGCAGCAGUGGGGGAUAUUGCACAAUGGGGGAAACCCUGAUGCAGCGACGCCGCGUGUAGGAAGACGGUCCUCUGGAUUGUAAACUACUGUCCCCAGGGACGAAGAUGACGGUACCUGGGGAGGAAGCUCCGGCUAACUACGUGCCAGCAGCCGCGGUAAUACGUAGGGAGCGAGCGUUGUCCGGAAUUACUGGGUGUAAAGGGAGCGUAGGCGGGGAUGCAAGUUGGGUGUUAAAUCUACCGGCUCAACUGGUAGUCGCACUCACAACUGCAGCUCUUGAGUGCAGUAGG